GGCGGCGUGGAUAAGACAUGCAAGUCGAGCGAGAUUUUUUCUUGUAGCAAUACAGGGAAAAGUCUAGCGGCGAACGGGUGCUUAACACGUGGGCAACCUGCCGUGAAGUGGGGGAUAGCUCGCCGAAAGGCGAAUUAAUACCGCAUGUGAUUAGAGAGGACAUCCUUUCGAAAUUAAAGUCGGGGCAACCUGACGCUUCUUGUGGGGCCCGCGGCCUAUCAGCUAGUUGGUGAGGUAACGGCUCACCAAGGCUUUGACGGGUAGCUGGUCUGAGAGGACGACCAGCCACACUGGGACUGAGACACGGCCCAGACACCUACGGGUGGCAGCAGUCGAGAAUUUUUGACAAUGGGGGAAACCCUGAUCGAGCGACGCCGCGUGGAGGAUGAAGGUCUUCGGAUUGUAAACUCCUGUCAUUGGGGAAC
RNAcentral lists this ribosomal RNA (425 nucleotides) under uncultured Verrucomicrobiota bacterium. RNAcentral describes it as "bacterial SSU rRNA". It matches the Rfam family "Bacterial small subunit ribosomal RNA", at positions 38 to 447 of the family's 1533-position model. The record is from RNAcentral. Lineage: Bacteria; Pseudomonadati; Verrucomicrobiota.